AUUGAACGCUGGCGGAAUGCUUUAUACAUGCAAGUCGAGCGGCAGCGCGGGGGCAACCCUGGCGGCGAGCGGCGAACGGGUGAGUAACAUAUCGGAACGUACCCAGUCGUGGGGGAUAACUAUCCGAAAGGAUAGCUAAUACCGCAUACGACCUGAGGGUGAAAGCGGGGGACCGUAAGGCCUCGCGCGAUUGGAGCGGCCGAUAUCGGAUUAGCUAGUUGGUGAGGUAAAGGCUCACCAAGGCGACGAUCCGUAGCGGGUCUGAGAGGACGGCCCGCCACACUGGGACUGAGACACGGCCCAGACUCCUACGGGAGGCAGCAGUGGGGAAUUUUGGACAAUGGGGGCAACCCUGAUCCAGCCAUGCCGCGUGAGUGAAGAAGGCC
This 386-nucleotide ribosomal RNA is filed under the name uncultured bacterium. RNAcentral describes it as "bacterial SSU rRNA". It matches the Rfam family "Bacterial small subunit ribosomal RNA", at positions 29 to 416 of the family's 1533-position model. The record is from RNAcentral.